Molecule: small RNA, 3149 nt
Filed under: Pan troglodytes (chimpanzee)
Lineage: Eukaryota; Metazoa; Chordata; Mammalia; Primates; Hominidae
Description: processed transcript
Source: RNAcentral
UUUCUGAAGGAACAAAUUUUAGCAGGUCCUUAUUCUGCCAUUCCUGCAAUCACUGCAAGAAAGCAUUUAUUUUGAUAAGACUUAAUUACACAUUGACUUUGUUUCUUUUUCAUAUAUCAAAUAAAAAGUUGUACUGUGCUUUUAAAAUGUUAUUUUUAUGUCCAUUAUAUUAUUCGAAUUAUCAUUUUAACAAAAUCUGGUUUGCACAUUACAGUUUGAAAAGUGUUGGUCUAUUUCAUACUGCCAUUGUGACAGAUCACUUUAGUUUACAUCUUACUUAUAUUGUAAAUUGUAAGCAAUCAGAACCCCUCCUUACCCCAAGUUGGAUAAAAUACUUUCAAAUGGGGAACUGUGAACAUCUGAGGAAAGUGAUUCUUAGUGUUGGCAUUAGAAACACCCACCCAGAAGAACUUUUACAAAUAUGCAUUCAUGUACUACACCCCAGGCAGGUCUACUUUCAAUCUUAAGGAAGUAAGUAUGUAUUUUUAAAAUCAAGCUAUUUUUCAAGUUCCAUAGACAAUUCUGUUAGAUAAUCUAUACUAAGAACUACUGAUGCAUAGAAAAGUUUAUUAUUGUUGUUUUUGUUUUUUUGAAGGAGUUUUGCUCUGUUGCCCAGGCUGGAGUGCAGUGGCUUGAUCUCGGCUCACUACAAGCUGCGCCUCCUGGGUUCAUGCCAUUCUCCUGCCUCAGCCUCCCGAGUAGCUGGGACUACAGAUGCCUGCCACCACGCCCAGCUAAUUUUUUGUAUUUUUAGUAGAGAUGGGGUUUCAUCAUGUUAGCCAGUAUGGUCUCGAUCUCCUGACCUCGUGAUCCGCCCGCCUCGGCCUCCCAAAGUGCUGGGAUUACAGGCGCGAGCCACCGUGCCUGGCCUAGAAAAGUGUAUUACCUUUUUAACAUCAUUAUUCUUUACUCCAUUUUUAGUUUUGAAUUGCAGUGUUUGACCUUAAAAGUUUUAUAUUACAAUUUUUUUAAUUAGUUUUUUAUUUUUUCCAAGAGACUUCUAAUUAAAAGGGAAUCGUAAAUAAAAGCACUGUGCUUGCCUUUUGUGCUUUUAUUAAAGUGAAAUCUCUACAAUCUUUCCUAAGCUGUUAAUCAUUGUUUACUAAUGAACAUAAACCACUUCCUAAUUAUUCAGACUCAAGAAUGUUUUUCUAGAGGGUAUUGGGGUAGGCAAAGAAAACCAGGAGAGUUUGUAACAAACAGUAUGUGGGAUUUUUUUAGAUGUGUUCAAUUUGAAAGUAACUUGUGAAACAACUGGUGAUAUUUUGGUAUAAGACGUUUUGAAAGUUAUUUGUUUAUUUCUAAGGAUAACAAAGCUGAUGUAAUUUUAAAGUACAAUGCAGAUGAAGCUAGAAGCCUGAAGGCAUAUGGCGAGCUUCCAGAACAUGGUAAUAUCAAAAUGAUUUUAUCUCCUCAUUAUUUGAUAUUAAUGUUUGUUGGUAUUUAGAUGAAGGUAUUUCCGUAGAACUCUUGUUUUACAUACUGUUUUAGUGUACACUUAAAAAUUUGUUCUAAGUAGUCUUGCCUAUACUUCAGUAUACUUAUGAUACUUUGGAAAAGGUAUUAAUAACUGGAAAUCUCUAAUAAAAACGUUAUGAACUUGAAAGUAGAAGUCUCUAAUAAAGAGAUUAUGAAUUAUGAAAGUUCCUUUAGUGACGACUUUAUAAAUUCAUAAGCUCUGGAUUUGUAUAUAAGAUCUGUCAAAGAAAUACGUUUUUUAUAGUGUUUUUCUAAACAGUUCUCAAGACUGGCAGUUUUCAUUUAAGCAGAGGCAACAAAUGUAAUACUAAUGUUUGAUUAUUAUAGAAAAAAGUAUUCAUCUUAGCAAAGUUUUAACUAUGGGAUUAUUUUUAACAAACAUUUGUGUUUUCUUUUUCUUAAAGACAAACACAAUGCAUACUUACUGCCGAAAGCUUGACAAGAUUAAAAUAAGUCCCUCAUGACACCAUCAAAGAGAAUAUGCACUGUUGUAAAGCCUGCAUAUUUUACUUGGCAGCUGUUUUCAUUAUUUAUCAUAUUGCAUUUUAUGAAAAGAUUUUUAUAUAAACAUGAAGAUCCUGAUGAAAUUAUUGGCAUUUCAGGAAGUGCUGAAAUGUUAUUGGAAGUGAUGAAAUUAUUGGCAUUUCAGGAAGUGCUGAAAGUUUCGCUUUCAUUACUUGGGGAUAAGCAUGAUCAUGAUUUAACCAAGUAUUUCUCACUGAUUUGAUAAGUCUGUUUAAAUAAUUGGUUAACUAGUUGUUGUAAUUUCAAGAGAACUUUAUGUAUUUUGAGGAUAAGUUGUUAACCUGUGCUCAAAUCCUUUUUGAAGGCUACAUGGAAAUGGUUGGCUAUUGAGUUAGCAUAAUCAGAGUCUGCCUACCAUACUUAAAGUACCUUUUGUAUAUGUGCUAAGUGAGAAUUAAAAAUACCUUUUAAAAACAAAUGAAAAAUACAGCACAAUACGGCACAUUCGUUCUUUGUUUUUUGAAACAGAGUCUUGCUCUGUCACCCAGGCAGGAGUGCAGUGGCACCAUCUCAGCUCCCUGCAUUCUACGCCUGCCAAGUUCAAGCUAUUUUCCUGCCUCACCCUCUGCACCCUCUGAGACUACAGACAUUUGCCACCAUACCUGGUUAAUUUUUUAUUUUUUUAUUUUUAGUAGAGACCAGGUUUCACCAUGUUGGCUAGGCUGGUCUCGAACUCCUGAUCUCAAGUGAUCUGCCUACCAUGGCCUCCCAAAUUGGUGGGACUACAGGUUAUAUAAUCAGUAUGUCUGUUAUUGUACCUUUAGCUAAAAUCAAUGAAACAGACACAUUUGGUCCUGGAGAUGAUGAUGAAGUCCAGUUUGAUGAUAUUGGAGAUGAUGAUGAAGACAUUGAUGAUAUCUAAAUUGAACCAAGUGUUUUUACAUUACAAGUUCUCUGAGGAUGGUUCUACAGUUGGGAUUUUGGCCAUCAUCAAUUAAGAAGAGAAAUUCAUUUAGUGUGUAGUUUCUGAAAGCAAACUGAUUUAUUUUCAUUGUUUUAAAGUAUUUAUUUCUUUAAAAGCUGAGGACACUGAAUUAUCUUAAGUUAAAUGUUAAUACUUUAUUGUUUUGAUGUAAUGCAACUUAAAGAUAAAAGACCUAAUAUUUGCUGUUAAAAUAAAUAAACGAAUGCCUUUCCUACUGUGA